This 253-nucleotide ribosomal RNA is filed under the name uncultured bacterium. RNAcentral describes it as "partial 16S ribosomal RNA". It matches the Rfam family "Bacterial small subunit ribosomal RNA", at positions 524 to 776 of the family's 1533-position model. The record is from RNAcentral.
GACAGAGGUCCCGAGCGUUAGGCGGAAUCACUGGGCUUAAAGCGUGUGUAGGCGGACUUCUAAGUACCUUGUGAAAUCCCACGGCUUAACCGUGGAACUGCUUGGUAUACUGGUUGUCUUGGGCCAUCUAGGGGCUACCGGAACAAACGGUGGAGCGGUGAAAUGCGUAGAUAUCGUUUGGAACGCCAAUGGUGAAAACAGGUAGCUGGGGGUGUGCCGACGCUGAGACACGAAAGCCAGGGGAGCGAACGGG